GCGGCGGCGGCGGCCGCGGCGGCGGCGGCGGCGGCGGCAAGUGCACGGGGUACGCCCGUCCCGCUCCGCAGGGGCAGAGGGGGAGGGGAUGAAGCUGCCCGGCGCCAUUUUGCUUGUGGGCUGCCGCCCGCCGUUGCCUCUCCGCGGAGGCUCGAAGAUAGCAAACUGGAGGCGGUGAGGGGGACGGAAUCUCUGUCUUUCUGACAACAGAUGCAUUCAACAAUCCACCGAAGGUUUGAGGAAGUGUCGGUAUUCGGUGGGACUGGUUCUUUCCCCCUUUCCCCCAGUGGCCCUCAAGUCUGGAUAUAGGUGAGCUUGGGCAUGCCAGUAUUGGGUGCACGAACAAGGACAGCAGGGCUUGGGAACGAACUCCCUCCCGUCACCCUCCGAAAGCGAUACACCUUCUCCCCCUCCCAAACAACCCCAGUCCCGUCUCCCCGUUCCUCUCCCCCUCCUCCCCCAGCCCAGUCUGGCCUCCAGCGCUGGGUGAACCCGGUUGGGGUGUCACUCGACGCCCACUAGGGGCUGAGGAGGCUCCAGUGCGCAGGCUCCGGGCACCGGAUAAAAGCGGAGCUGGCGAGUCUAGUGCUGUCUCGAUGGAGGAGCAAGAAACGGAAGAGGUCGGGGGGAGAAGCAGCCGGAAAAAUGCAGCCACCGUCAACGCCGCCUCCCUGCCACCGUGCUUCGGGGUAAAAAGCUGCCGUUGCCGUCGGUGCAGUUGCCGUCGCUGCCUCCUAUACUUCUCUUGGCCUCGGGGAAGGAUUUCCCCACCGGUGGGACAAUGUGCGGGGAGGGGAGUGGGAAUUCCUUUAUAUGGCGGUGAUUAAACGAGGGAGGGACAGACAGUGAUCUCGAAGAAAAAAGGGGGAGACCAAAGAAUAAAAGAAGGGUUUCCCCACUAAAAUGACACGGCGAUUCCGGCUCUUGUUUUGGGGGUCUUUCCCCGAAAUGGUUUCCGUCUUCCCCUUGCCCCGCAGCGACCCAGAGCGCUGGGGGAAGCGGAGUGGGGAGAGGCAGAGGCGGUCUCGGCAGCCAAUCAGCGCCUGAUGUGUCCUGUCGGGCGCGUCGUGGUUGGCUGGCGAUGACCUCAUCCUGCAGCAGCGGGUGGGGCCAAAGCCGUAGGGGGAGGCUGUUGCAAAGGUAGAGAGGGAGAAGUGACGAUGGUGAUCGUUGCUGCCGCGGCCGAUAUGGAACCCAAGCAGUGGCGAAGGGAAUCGCAAGGCUCUUCCCUGACCAUUUUCUACUGUCCCUGCGCGAGGUGAGGGCCCCGGCUCGGCCUCUGCAAAACUUUGGGGCGCUGGCGCGGAGGAGGAGACAGGAUUUCUCCCGUGACUUUUGUAACUGCGUCAGGGCAAGAUGGCGCUGGGUCUCUUUGGGGCGCGGGGGGAGAGGCACGUCCACCGCCGCAGCGCAUGUGACCGGGCUGCAUUCCUGUGGGGUUUGGCUCCGACCCAGGCCGGGGCGGGGGAGGGGACAGGGCUUGGGCGGAGGAGACUGUGGUGCGGUCGGCGUUGGCGGCCUGAAGAGGAAGAGAUGACUGUUGGAAAGCGUUCCCCUCCCCCAUACGGCAGAACAGCUGCGGCUCCCAGGGGAAAGCCCCCGCAGGACAGUCCUCGUGGGGUGUGACGGCUGUUGGUGGAGAAGGUUUGGCGCCCUAUUUUCUUAUCUGCCUUUCUCCCCGCAAAGUAUACUUAUGUAAGGUGGUAGUUCCCUGACGUGGGACUCGGAAUCAACUAGGAGUCCUUGAGGGCCUCUGGGAGGCCUAGCGAGGGGUAGACCAGCUUCUGGGGGUACAACGUCAAGGAGGAUCGAUUACUUUCUGAGGAAACAGUUUCUCAGAUUGAAAUAGAAAAGUAUUUCCAAAGUUUGGAAACAAAUUUAAAGGUGUAAAUAACACCCAGGAACACUUUAAUUGCUUUGAAAAGGCAUAAGCAGCCAUCUGAAUUUAAGGGCCCUUUUCAGACUCUUCCUUCCUCCUGUGAUUCCUGUUCUUUAUUUCAGUUUUCUGUCUGUACAUCCCUUAAGAAUAUAGUUUUGUCGGUGGGAUUCGCUCUUUUGUGCCCAGGCUGGAGUGCAGAGGCGAGAUCUCGGCCCACUGCAACCUCCGCCUCCCCGGGUUCAGGCGAGUCUCCUGCCUCAGCCUCCCAGGUAGCUGGGAUUACAGGCGCCCACAACCACACCCUGCUAAUUUUUUCUAUUUUUAGUAGAGACGGGGUUUCACCCCAUUGACCAGGCUGGUCUCGAACUCUCGAGAUCCGCCCGUCUCAGCUUCCCAAAGUGCUGGGAUUAUAGGCAUGAGCCACCGCGCCGGGCCUGCUUUUUUUUUUUUUUUUUUUUUUUGCACUGGGCAUUAGUAAUACGGAAUAAAAGCCGUGUUUUAAACUGUAUUAAGUUGUAAGACUUUUCAGUACUUUCAAGUCUGCUUUCUUUCUGUUGCCCUUUUGUAGUUUUUAAAAAUAAAAGAUGCAAUUAUAAGCACUUCCGGUGAAUAUUAUUCCUUAAGGUUCCUGCAUCAUCAUGAAAUUUGAAGCACUUUUAUAGUAGUACAAACUAUACUUUUAGCUUUUGAAAUCUCGAUAGGAGAAAAUAUCCAGCAGUUUUAGGGGCUAUUUUGGCAUAUUCAUUAAGGUAGACUAAGUUUGUUUUUCGUUUUUCCCACUUAGCCAAACUAGUUAAAGUAGUCAAAACUAGCAAAUAAUUUUUAAAGGGCUUCUCCUUUUGGGUGGUGUAGAGGGUGGGGAGUUAUUCAACAAACACAUUUGCAGCCAAAAUCUGGCCUACUUCUUGGCAGAGCGCUUAUACUUGGUGCUACGAGAAAAUGAUUGCUGGACCUGAAAAGAACCUGAGGUCAAGGUUGUGCUAUUUCCUUAAGUCUUAGUUGUAGGCUCUUGGUAGUUUGAAAACAAGAUUGGGUUUUUAAUUCAUUUGUGUAUCCUUAAAUCCUCACUAGUUUUUGUGGAUUUCUUUUUUCAGUUAUAAGCAACUGAAUGUGGAUGAGCUAUAAAUAUUUAGUACAAAGAAUGUAAUUUGUCCACUCUGAAUAGAAAGUAAGCAUUAAGAACUCUUGAAUGUCUUCAAGGGUUACUUUGUUACGUGUAAGAUGUCUCCCCUUCCUUCAUAGCAGUUUUUAUUCCUGCUUAAAAAGGGAACUAAAUAUGAAGUCAGUAGAUUUUAAGGUAAUUUUCAGAAUGUUUCUACUUUCACCGUGCCUUAAUAAGGAAAAAAGGCCAUUUUCCAAGCGAAUGGAAACACCCUUUCCUUGUUUUGUGCCUUUAAUCAGCGUGUACCUUCAUUGUUCCUGAUUGCCAAAUCCACGAACUUCUUGAGCUCUCAAUUUUUCUUGACUUUCCUAUGGCAUUUUAAAUACUGUUCAUACUUGGAAUUACUUUUCUUUGACUGCCUUCAUACAUUCAUAUAUUCUGCCUGGGCAAUUUCAUUUGGGCCUAUUAUGUUCCAAUACCUCUCCAAUUUUCACCUCCAUCUUAGCUCUGCCAGCUUCAGUGCCACAGGUAGGCAAUGUAAAAGUUUACUGGGGACCACAGGCUUUCUGAGCUCAAUAAAAAUACUAAGCUUGGUACUUGUUUUUUAAGAAUUUUCUUCCCCCAUCCCCUCACAAAGAUUAUUUGAGUAAAUUACACCCCAACCUCCUUUUCCUUGUUUUUGUUGAAAUUAUUGUCUCUUAACUUUGGAACAUUGCAGUUGCGGUAAGCUUACUAGGUUCACAUAGCAUAUCUUCUGGUGUGUUAAAAUUAAAAUGCACACCAUCUCAAAAGUGCUAUGCCAUUUCAUACCUUUGUGCUUUUGUCCUGCUACCUGGAGUGCGUCUUUCUCACUUCUGGAUAAUACAAUUUGAACCUUUUCUUUGCCUCUUGAAACUGCAAAAUCCCUACUCGCAAGUAAAUGUGUCAUUCUUUAUGUUGAUAACCCAGCCUAGUGCUUGACACUUGAUGGGCAUUCAGGUAUACAUGGUUUUUUAGAGAUUGAUAAGAUUAACUGUGCAGUCUAUAAACUGUAAAUACUGGCUUUUAAACUCUUUUAAAGGAGCUCUUUUGAUAAACAAUUUGGAUAAGAGAUGAAAGGUUAGGGAGGCUCCAGGCAAGGCAGAAGACUGCUGAUGGCCCAGAGAUAGUUCUGCCCCAAAAAGGUGGGAAGAAGAAAAAAACUGAGCUGGAUAUUUUUAAGGAAAUAUAUUUUAUAGCAUUUUUCUUUAAUGCCUAGUUUUGCUGCAAGCACUGAAGUUUAUCCUGCAUUUGUAUUUCUUAUUUGAAAAAGAAAUGGCCUUUGGGGUUUGUUUUGUUUUUUGUUCCUUUGUAAGCACACUGCAAAAGCGGCGUUGUCAGCGUUGUCUUUUGAGGUAUCAAACGUGCUUUCAGUCAGCAAAUAUCUUGUAUAUAGUACCAUUCCUAAUAAACUAAAUUGGUUAUCAACCUAAUACAAACGGUACUUCAUACAACUUAAGCCUAAACUAGAUUAGAUUAUGUAGAAACUUAUUCUUAGAGAAUAUAUCGCCUUAAUAUUUCUUAUCCUGAAAAGAGUAUUUCUUAAGUGCCCCUCUCAAAGUAUAUCGAUUAAUAUUUGUCUCAAAUUUAAAACUAUAUCCUGGUUUUUCCCUUACAGUUGUUUAGCAAGUAAAUGUUUACUUACUAAUUUAUUUUCUCCCAGACUUCAUUCUACCAGUUUAAGCUUAGCUCAGUUUUGUUUUUUGGUUUUGAGAAGGAGCUUUGCUCUGUCACUCAGGCUGGAGUGCAGUGGUACGUUCUCAGCUCACUGCAGCCUCCGGCUCCUGGGUUCAAGCGAUUCUCCUGCUUCAGUCCGUGAGUAGCUGGAACUACAGGCGCACACCACCACGCCCAGCUAAUUUUUGUAUUUUUAGUAGAGACAGGGUUUCACCAUGUUGGCCGGGCUGGUCUUGAACUCCUGACCUCAGGUGAUCUGCCUGCCUCAGCCUCCCAAAGUGCUGGGAUUAUAGGCGUGAGCCACCGUGCCCAUCCUAAACUUAGCUCAGUUUUAAUGCUACUUCCAUUUCUUUAUGUAUAGUUUGAUGUAAGAAUAACAGUUGGAAGUAAGGAUUUAGGAAUAACAAGAGUUUGGGAUUUUUGUUUUUUUAAUUAGCAAGGUAAUGCCACAUCAGGUCAUUAGUGACAUUAAUGAGAGAACAGGGGAAUUAUUGGAAAGUCUUGACUUAAGGCCAGACGAGAAAUCCUUAACUGCUAGUGUGACUUCCCUCCCCACAAAAGAGAAUGCUCUCGUAAUACACCGAACUGUUGGAUGCUGUUGUAUAUACUUUAUAUAUAAUCUUACCCAAGGUGGCAGAGCAUUAACUUUAACAUCUGUCUCCCUGACCUCACCAGAGUUCAUAAUCUUUGCCCUACUUACACUGUCUGAAGGAUGACUUGGCCUUUUUUUUUUUUUUUUUUUUUUUAAUUGAGACAGAGUCUUGCACAGUUGCCCAGGCUGGAGUGCAGUGGCACGAUCUCGGCUCACGGCAGCCUCCACCUCCUGGGUUCAAGUGAUUCUCCUGCAUCACCCUCCCCAGUAGCUGGGAUUACAGACGCUUGUCACCGCGCCUGGCUAAUUUUUGUAUUUCGGGGUUUCGCCAUGUUGGCCAGGCUGGUCUCGAACUCCCCACCUCAGGUGAUCCGCCCAUCUUGGCCUCCCAAAGUGCUGAGAUUACAGGCAUGAGGUGUGGCACAGGACAGAGAAAGACUUACUUUAAAACAUACCUGUCUUCAACCCAGAAGAGACUGGCUUUUAGAGCCCUCAAUGUAGCAAGAAGAGCCUGAAUCAGAGCAGGAGUGAUAAAGAAGGAAUCUAAGUUAUUACAGAAACAUCCGUAAUUGUUGCCUGGGUGGGUAUAAGGAAGAAGAAGGAAUUGACUUUCAAGAAAAAUAAUUGACAUUUGAUAGUCUUCACAGAUAAAAGCCAAAACAGGGUAGAUUCAGUCUUAAUAGGAGACAAAUUUAGCAAGAAAGCUGAGAUCUUGGGUCGGUCUACAUUUUAGGCCAAGGAAAAGGAACUGAUUGCAUUUGUUUUUUAAGAUAGAUUAUACGCCAGUGCAUAACAUAUUUAACCUAAGUCUGAUUAGCUUUAUAAUAAUUUUUAAAUUAUUCAUAACUAUCCUAAGCAAUACCUUUUAUUGUUAGAUUAUUAUGUAAUGCCCACAAAUGAUAGAUAGCAUUUGAAAGUAAUUGCUGGCUGAUUAUAGGCAUGGUGGCUUAUGCCUAUAAUCCCAGCACUUUGGGAGGCCAGGGUUGGUGGAUCACAUGAGGCCAGGAGUUCAAGACCAGCCUGGCCAACGUGGCAAAACUCUGUCUCUACUAAAAAUACAAAAUAAUUAGCUGGGCGUAGUGGUGCACAUCUGUAAUCCAGCUACUCAGGAGGCUGAGGCAUGAGAAUUGCUUGAAUUGGGGAGGUGGAGGUUGCAGUGAGCUGAGAUCGCACCACUGCAUUCCAACCUGGGGGACAGAGUGAGACCCUGUCUCAAAAAAAAAAAAAAAAAAGGAAUUGCAAGUAGCCUGUAAUCCCAGCACUUUUAGGAGUCCGAGGCAGGAGGAUCACUUGAGACCAAGCUGGGCAACAUGAUGAAACCCCUGUCUCUACAAAUAAUUUUUUUAAAAUAUUAGCCAGGUGUCUGGCACACGCCUGUAGUCCCAUUUACUUAGGAGGCUUAGGUGGGAGGAUCACCACUUGAGGCCAAGAGAUCAAGAUCAGCCUGGGCAACAUAGCAAGACCCCCACCUAUAGGAAAAUAAAUCCGAGCGUUCCAAGUGUUCAGCUAUUCACCCACUUUAGGUUUCCACCUUCCUUAGAAAGUAGAGUAGUAUAAAUUAUUUCUGAAAUUUGUGAAACGAUGUACCACAUAACCCUCUCAAACCAGGUUGCUACUACUUCCAAUGACUUCAUUGAUAAGGGGCAAAGUAACUCGAAUGAUGGGUGAGCUCAUGACAUGGUUUAGCUCCGUAUCAAACUCUGGAUUUGGGAAAAUUGCUACUGAUUUAUUAAACACUUGAAUUCUUAUAUGCUAGGUCAGAAUUUGGCAACUAAACUCUCAGAAAUUUGUAAACUUCCUUUUUACAUAGAAAAGUGAAUCCAGGCUGGGUAUGGUGGCACGUGCCUGUAAUCCCAGCUGCUCAGGAGGCUGAGGCAUGAUAAUUGCUUGAACCUGGGAGGUGGAGGUUGCAGUGAGCCCAAGAUUACACUGCUGUACUCCAGCCUGGGCAACAGAGGGAGGCUCUGUCUCAAAAAAAAAAAAAAAAAAAAAAAAAGUGAAUAUACUGUACUGUAAAGCCUGUGCACCUCUUCAUCACACAUAAUUGCCUGUACAUUAUGCCCAGUGCCUGGCCCCUAUUGGAUUUCUGACAAGCUUUAAUGUUGUUAGGUUAAGAGAGAACCUGUUCCUCAAGUUUAGUCUUAUCUCUAGUAUUUAAAUUUUUCAUGAAGGAAGGCUGUGCUAAGGCGAUACUUCAUUCCUGAAGAACACUUACUUAAAUAAGUAAUGUUCAAUUAAUUUUCCUCAUUCUAUGAAAAACUUGAAAAGGCAACAAAAAUAUUCACUAUUCUCUGGUUCAUUUGAUAACAAUAUUGUGGUAGUCUAGGCAUCUCUCCCAUGUCCCAAGCACAGCUUAUCUGACCACAUCUAUACAACAGACAUUCUGUAGCGACUCUCUUUGUUCUAUUCCAUGCUCCUACUUUAUGGCCAGUGAAAGGGCAAAUGGAAGUCAAAAGGGUAAGAGGACACGUUAGAUAGCUUUGAUUGAAGCAUUCUUUUAGAAGUUAAAUGACUGAAAAAGGUUUUACAAAUGACAUCGAGUCAAGGGUUCAUCUGAAAGUAUCUAAAAGUUAACUAGUUCCCUUUCUCCACAAACUCUGCCCAUGUAGGUAAGUUUUAUUUUUCUGAGGAAUAAGAAACAUAUGCAGUUAUUUGCAUUUAUAAUAUUUUGUGAAAGUUCUGUAUUUUCUUGUUUUUUUUGAGACGGAGUCUCUGUCACCCAGGCUGGAGUGCAGUGGUGCAAUCUCAGCUCACUGCACACUCUGCCUCCUGGGUUCACACCAUUCUGCUGCUUCAGCCUCCCGAGUAGCUCGGACUACAGGCGCCUGCCACCAUGCCCGGCUAAUUUUUUGUAUUUUUAGUAGAGAUGGGGUUUCACCGUGUUAGCCAGGAUGGUCUCGAUCUCCUGACCUUGUGAUCUGCCCGCCUCGGCCUCCCAAAGUGCUGGGAUUACAGGCGUGAACCACCGCGCCCGGCCAAAAGUUCUGUAUUUUUAUGAGCUCCAGGUGGUCUUAUAUAACCCAUAGCAUUUGAUUCCUAAGAAUACAUCCUCUUGGCCAGGCGCAGUGGCUCACACCUGUAAUCCCAGCACUUUUGGAGACCAAGGCGGGCAGAUCACAAGGUCAGGAGUUUGAGACCAGCCUGACUAACAUGGUGAAAUCCCGUCUCUACUAAAAAUAGAAAAAUUAGCUGGGUGUGGUGGCGCACGCCUAUAAUCCCAGCUACUCAAGAGGCUGAGGCAGGAGAAUUGCUUGAACCCGGGAGACAGAGGUUGCAGUGAGCCGAGACGCGCCACUGCACUUCCGUCUGGGCGACAGAAGGAAACUCCGGCUCAAGAAAAAAUAUAUAUAUAUCCUCUUAAAACUCCUUUGCUUUUAUGCUAAUACUCUUAACUAGUUGAUUUCUUCAGCUUCUUAAAUGUUGGAUUUCCCAGUGUUGUGUCCCCACCAAUGUUACGUUAUCCAUUUUACUAACUGCAAUAAUCAAUUCCCAUACCUUUACCUGUCGAUGACUCUAGAAUUUGUAAUCUCUGAACUCAACUGAAACUACUAAAUACAUUACUUGUCCUAUGAAGUACCUCAAACUAAACAAAUUUAAAACUGACCUUGGCCGGGCACGGUGGCUCACACCUGUAAUCCCAGCACUUUGAGAGGCUGAGGCGGGCAGAUCACUUGAGGUCAGGAGUUCGAGACCAGCGUGGCCAGCAUGGCGAAACCCCAUCACUACUAAAAAUACAAAAAUUAGCCAGGCAUGAUGGCACGUGCCUGUAAUCCCAGCUAUUUGGGAGGCUGAGGUGAGAGAAUUGCUUGAACCUGGGAGGUGGAGGUUGCAGUGAACCCAGAUCACGCCACUGCACUCCAGCUGGGGCAACAGAGCAAGACUUUGUCUCAAAACAAAACAAAAAAAACCUUUCUUUAGAUAAUGGCUAAAACUAUUUUCUAGCUUCAUAAAAUCAAACACUUUUCCAAAAAUAUGUUUCCAGAAAAAUCUUUUUAACUUAAAAAACUGUUCAUUGACCAGAGAUUUGAGGGUCGAGUCAAAACACACUGUGACGUGCCAGGUCCUUCAUCUGACCCCUGCUUUAACCUCCCAAAGUGUUAGGAACAUCAUGAACGCUGCUUGGAACUAGAAUAAUCCAAGUUUGAAUACCACUUCCACUUCAAGGAAGACUUAGGUAGUUUGCUUUCUGGGACUCAGUUUUAUAAUCCAUACAGCAGGUAAAAUAUUAACUAUAUAAUGGCGUUAAGAAUUAAAUUAGAUAUAAAACCUUUCAGGAGCAAUUAUUGAUUUGUAAUCCCAAUUUUUUUUGGUCCAGAAAAUAAGACAUUCCCUUCUAUUUGUUAACAUGUGUUCCUAUCAUGCUGUCAUGUUCAUGUUCCUCUUUUCCAUUAGUAUAUGAGAUCUUGAUAGACACAAUGUUUUUCAUCUUUAUGGCUGAAGUGCACAGUUCCUGGCAUGUAAUAGGCAUGCAGUUUUGUUGCACAAAUGAAUAGAUAAUCUGCUUUGAUGCCAGAUGCCUGAAAAUGUUGCCCAUAGUAUGUGUUUAUUACAAUAGAAAGUCCCUUGAAUAUAAAAUUUGAUGCAAAUGGUCUGGUUGAUUCUAUACCAUCAUCUUGUAAGACUUCAGAGGGUUUUCCCACACUUUUCAAAAACAUGUAUCUAUUUUGUUGCAAGCUAGAAGGACUAGUCCCUACUCUAUUCAUUUAUAAUCUAGUUUGGGAUUAAGCCACAUCAGUAAGUAACCAAGUACUGUAAGCAUUCAGCCAGAUAUCCCAGUUCAUGGGGUAAUGUGUUUCACAGAGGAAAUAGAAUUUUUGGAUUAGGAGGCAGAUAGUUCUGGGUUUCAUUAGGGAAAGGGUGGGGCAGUAGAGUACAACAUAUUUGCAGUCAGCAUGGUUUUAUGUGUAAAGGCAUAAAACAGUAACAGAGACAAUGUUUUAAGUAAACCAAUUUCACUGGGCUUGUGUGACCUAGUACAUUGAGAGAUGAGACUGGAAAGGGGGCGGAUUGGACCACAUAAUUUUAUUUUAUUUUUAAUUUGGAGUCUUUUUUUCUGUGAGUCUUAGGCCACUACUUUCUCUAUUUUGUUUCUUUUAUAUUUAAGGAAACAGUCUCAGGGAAAUGACUGACUGAGUCGCAGUGUAAUGGGGGACAGAGCCAGGCCUGAACCCCUAAAUAUUGCUGUUCUACCUCUAAGUUGAAAAUAGGACAGUCAGUAAAGAGUCUGUUGUAUACUGGGUUAUAAGAUCUCAUUUCUAAUCUAACUUGGAUGGAAUCAAGAUUAGAAAAAGUACUUGAUUCUUACAUUUUUUUCUUCCUUGUUGUACAUAAAAAGAGAUUGGCCUGGCACAGUGGCUCAUGACUAAUCCUAGCACUUUAGGAGGCAGAGGUGGGUGGAUCCCUUGAGUCUAGGAGCUCAGAAUCAGCCUGGGCAACAUCGUGAAACCCCGUGUCUACUAAAAAUACAAAAAUUAGCUUGGCGUGCUGGCAUGCUCCUGUAAUCCCAGCACUUUGGGAGGCUGAAGCAAGCGGAUCUCUUGAACCUGGGAGGCAGAGGUUGUAGUGAGUUGUGAUCACGCCACUGCACUCCAGCUUGGGCAACAGGGCAAGACCCUGUCUCCAAAGAAAAGAAAUGAAAUGAAAUUAGGAGCAAGCAUGAGUUUUAAGUGUCAGACUUCCUUUCCCAGUACACUCACCUACUACAGGCUGCAUGAUCUUAUUACUUCACUGAACUGUUUCCUUAUCUGUAAAUUGUUUGAUUAUCUACAAAUGUGUAGCUUGCUACCUGACAGCAUUAGAUAUUGGAUAAUUGGUUGUCAUUGCUAUUAAUAAACACGGACUUAGAGAGUUCUUGAAGUUUUAGUUUUAUGCUGAGAAUCCAUGUAACACUGGCAAUCUGUGUCUAUACCUGUAUCUAUAGCAAAAGCCAGAAUUUACCACAAAUUUUGCUGUUGUAUCAGGAAAUACAUCUUGACAACUGAUACUUAUUCUUAAUAUUAUUAUUCUGUUAUUUCUUAUUCUAGGCCCCAAAAACUUUUAUUAAAAUGCUUCAAAUUUUAGGUUAGCAUUUUUGUUGAUGUUUGGACAUCUUAAAUUCAUUAUACUCAUGCAAAAUUUUUUUUUUUUUUUUUUUUUGGAGACAGGGUCUCUGUCACCUGGGCUGGAAAAUAUAUCUUUAUAGUUUUAUGCACAUUUGGCAAUCAGCAGAAAUAAUAAAUUGUUGUACUAUGUCUAUGCUUUGCUAUCUUUAUGUGACCAAGACAUUACUGUGAAACUGAAUACUAUCUGGCCACAUAUAUAACCAUUGCUAUUAAGAAAGUUAUGAUUGUGACUUGGAAAUAGUCAUAUGGAGACAGUUCUGAUUUAAUUCCCAGGUAACUUUCAUAUUCUCACCAUUUUGCAGUGUGCAUUUCAAAAUAAUUUUUCAUAUCAAUUUGUAGAUGUGGGAACACAUCGAUUAGAAAGCUGAAGCUAACUUAUUCUCAGAUAACAAUCAUUUAAUUGUAACAUUGAAUUUUAAGAGGAAAAAUACAGUAUGCUGUCUUGUCUUUUUCUGCCCUUUCUUUUCCAUGUAUGGCUGGUUCAUGUUUUGCUUUAAUAACAUUUUUUGCCUGGGCAAAUGUCCAUAUUAUACAUUCUGAUCACUUUAAUUCCAUCACCCUUGAAAUUUUAAAAAGCAAACGUUUGAUUUAGUGGCUUUUAAGUUAAAAAAUAUUUAUCGACAUCUCUCAUCAUUUUAUCAGCUUCGUUGGUACUUAACAUGGUAGUUCUACUUUAUGAAAGAAGCCCGUCACUAAAAUACAACAUUCAAAAUUAAAACAUAAAUUUUCAUAAAUUUCACAGUGCUUUUUUGUGUUUGUUCUAGAAACCGUAUCUCACUCUGUGGCCCAGGCUAGAGUUCAGUGGCAGGGCAGUCAUAGCUCAUUGUAACAUAGAGCUCCUGGGUUCAAGCCAUCCUCCACCGUCAUCGUCUCCAGUAGCUAGGAAAGGCAUGUGCCACCAAGCCUGGCUAAUUUUUAAAAGAAUUUUUGUAGAGGUGGGGUCUUGCUGUGUUGCCCAGGCUGGCCUGAAGCAGUUUUCCUGCCUUGACCUCCCAAAGUAUUGGGAUUACAGGCAUAAGCCACCACACCAGGCUAUAAGAGUGCAUUUUUAAAAAAGAUAAAAAUGUCUAAGCCCUGUUUGAGUUGUAAGGUGUCAUCAGAUAUGAUGCUGGGUAUAUCAGCUUAUUCCUUUCUUCUGAAGGUUGUUUUUAUGCUAUCUUAAUGAACCAUCAAAGGUUCUGAAAUCAAACAUUUUGAAAAUACUUGACUUACGGCCAUUUUAUAUCAAGUGUAUAUGCUUUUAUUGUUUGUGUGCUUAAAACUGGUUAUUUUCAUGAAUGUACUUUCUAUGGAUCGCUAAAGGUCAGAACCAGCUAAGAAUGAAAAUGAGUACCAUUUAUACUUACUGUCAGCUGAACACUUGCAUUAUUUUUACCUUUAUGGUGUAUCUUACAGAAAUUAGUUUUUAGGUCGUGGUUUCAUACAUAGCAGAGCAGCUCCCUCCCUGCCAUCUAUUCAAAGUCAGCCCUGGACACAGGGUUUGUCCACCCCCUCGCGCAUGCCUGGCGUCUCCGUUGCCAUCCGUCUCUCUUACUUCCUCCCUCUCAAACUCCCUCCCAACACCCCUGGGGGCCUCCUUCCCUGGUCCACGCUUGCCCACCCUCUCCGGGAUCCCAGAGCAAGUGGCGGGUAUCUCGUCGAAAAGCGCCCGUCUCCAUCCGAUGCCUUUCCAAGCUGGCGGUGCUCAGGGGCAUGGUGCCAUGCUGGGGGUGGCCGAGGUUGCAGGGGUGCCCAUGCUUGGUGUCCCACCUCUCUAGUUCUAGUCUCCUCCCCCAACCCUACUAGGGGCUUGUCCCUGGUCUGGGACAGGCUUGGAAAGUGUGGCGCGAGUAUGGCUGAGGCGUGGUUGUUUGAGGGUGUGACCCUGCAGUCCCUGUCCCAGGGAUAGGGGUGGCCGUGUGGCCCAGGGGUGGCCGAAAGUGGCACUGGGGUCCAGCCCUCUCCCACUCUGUGGUGGAGUGGGGCAGUCACUGCCCUUGAGCCCUUUUAAAAAAAAAAAGAAAUUAGUUUUUAGUGAUAGGAGAGAGAAUCUUUUUGCCAAUGAGGUAGUUGAGAUAAAUUGAGAUAACUCAGAUAUAGGUACUAUAUUUUCCUGGGUAUUAUCAAAUUUGAUCUUUUUUUAUCUAUCAAAUUGGAUUCAUAUGAAUCAAUUUAUUCAAAUAAGUGGUUACAUUAAGUUUUUUUUUUUGUUUUCAGUACUUUAUCCUGUGUCUUGCUCUCAUGGGUAAUCCUUAACGUAGUCACCUAAGUUUUAGUUCCCAUUCUUUUCCAUCCUCCUCCUUUUUUCCAUCCCUGUACUCUCCAGACUUCCCUCUGGAUCAACUAUGCAAUUUCUGUAUGUUAAUGUAACAACAUAUACUCCUUCUGCAAAUAUUAAUAGAUGUAUGUCAUAGUGUUCUAAAUUUGUUAUCUUUACCCCUGGGGGCAAGAAUUCGUUUUCUUUUUAACUGGCAAGUCAUACUUUGGUACUAUAGGAAGCCCUCAAGCCUCUGUGACCAGAGGUUAGCAUAGGGAAAUUGAGACAUUUUAAAACGUUUUUCAUAUUAAGGUAUGAAGAAAACUGACCUUCAUUGUACUUUGGUAGUAGACCGCUUCCUAAUUCAUUCCUUUAGGUCCAAGUAGCCUUCUCUGAAAUUAAAAACAAAACAAAACAUAUUGAAAAAGAUUGUAGGGUGAAGUUAUAUGCCAUCAAAAUGAUGAUGACAUACAGGUAUUUUUGUGUAUCUCUGUCUUUUUUGACAACCAAUCAAAUUGAAUUUUUUUUUUUUUUGCCAGUUAAAUAGAAACUGGUGGCCAGGUGUAAUGGCUUAUGCCUGUAAAUCCCAGCACUUUGGCAGGGGCCAAGAAGGAUGGAUUGCUUAGCUUAAGAGUUCAAGACCAGCCUGUGCAACAUGGUGAGACCCUGUCUCUACAAAAAAUACAAAAAUUAGCUAGGUGCAGUGGCGUAAGCCUGUAGUCCCAGCCACUCCAGAGGCUGAAGUGAAAGGAUUUCUUAAGCCCCAGAGGUCAAGACUGCAGUGAGCCAUGUUCCUGCUAUUGCACUCCAGCCUAGGUAACAAAGCAAGACCGUUUCUCAAAAAAUAUAUAAGUAAAUAAAUAGAAACUAUCAAAUUAUUUUCAAGGAUAAGGAAGGACUAAUCAGUAGUUUAGUCAGAGGCCUAGAUCAAAACAUAACAUGUAUUUUUAAAUUAAUCUCUUUAAAUGCAUGGUUAAGUUACCUGUAUAUGUGCUCAGUAAAAUCGGUCAUUUGUGGGGAAAAAAAUGGCUAUUUGGUUUUCUAUGCAUAAAAUUAAGAUAGAAGUCUUUUUCCUCCUAACAGCCUUCAUCAUAGUGGAUUUAAAAAAACCAGUGUCACUUAGGCUGUGUCUUAUUUGUUUCUAAAACAAUGGAACAAGUCAGAUGUUUGUGGAAUACAUUUUAUAUUUGCAAAUAAAGUAAAAAUUUUUUCUUGCCUUUUUUAUGAAAUAACUAUAAUUUGUGUGAAGAUUAAAAUACUCUAAAACAUGAAUUGACAAAGCAAAAUGAAGGAGCCAGAUUUCAAAAUCAAGUUGUGGGGUGAGGCAUGAGGAUGGGAAGAAGAGAAUUAAGCAUUGAUAUAUGGAGUUUUAAUUUAUUUCCUUAAAAUUCAUAGUGAAAAGAAUAAGAUUUUGGGGGGGAGGGCACGGAAUCUCACUCUGUCUCCCACGCUGGAGUACAGUGGUGCAAUCUCGGCUCACAGUAACCUCAGCCUCCUGAGUAGCUGUAACUACAGGUGCCUGCAACCACACCUGGCUAAUUUUUUAUUUUUAGUAGAGACAGGGUUUCACCAUGUUGGCCAGGCUGGUGUGGAACUCCUGACCUCAGGUGAUCCGCCCACCUCGGCCUCCCAAAGUGCUGGGAUUACAGGCGUGAACCACCGCACCUGGCCAAAAUUUGGUACUUUAUAACUCAAUAAUUGCAACCAGACCAGCUAACUUUUUGAAAACUUGGGGCUCUGUAAUGUUCAGAUGAAGGUAAAUGUAGGGAAUAGACCCUCUUUAGAUUGAGGGAGUAGGAGUUUUGACAUCACAGGUCGUUUGGACUUAAAGGUAUGAAUUUGAAAGUAGUUUGGUUAUACAUGUCCUUUGCAACCUAGCCUCUCUUUCAUUAGCGGAAUUAAUUUUGGUGGAGGGAUUCAUUCAUAUUGUUAGUAUGUAUCGAGGGAGGCAUUGUAUACCAGAAGGCUUUGAACUGGUUGGGAGAAGUGUUCUUAUAAGAACAGGGUAAUUAUUAAUCAUAAUAAUCUUUGUCAAGGUGCCUAAGUAACUCCCUUAUGUAAUAGCAGCCAGUGAUUAGAUAGCUUCACAUCAAGCAGGUUGGAUUUGUUCCUUUUGAAUCAAAGAACCCUUUGCUUCAUAAUCUAGGUCUUGUGUCUCACCGAAUCCUUUAUAAUAUAGAAUAAAUGGUUGAAAGGAAAGGCUCACAUUCUGUAUUCCUGAAAUUCAAAUAGGAUAACUUUCUCAAAGUUUUAGGAUAGACCAAAUAAUGUAUGUCCAUGUAGCUCUAAGAUAUGAGUCAACAAAGCAAAAUAAUUAUGAAACUCUUGUGGGAUUUUUGGUAGAGUUUUUAUGGAGAUCCAGUGUAUAUGAGAAGCAAACUAAAGAGAGUUGCCAAGGGUUUUAGAGCCAGUCAAAUUCCUAGACUUUAGGAUUUGUUGAAUGAAUUGAAUGGAAACCAGUAUAGUUGUCAGUUUUAAGUUCACUCAGUAUUAGCAUUCAAUUAGAUACUGAGUUUUAAAAUAGUUUUUUUUUUUUUUUUUUUUGAGACAGAGUCUCACUCUGUUACCCAGACUGGAGUGCAAUGUUGCGAUCUUGGCUCACUGCAACCUCUGCCUCCAAGUUCAAGCAGUUCUUGCCUCAGCCUCCCAAGUAGCUGGGAUUAUAGGCGCCCACCACCAUGCCCGGCUAAUUUUUUACUUUUAGCAGAGACAGGGUUUCACCAUGUUGGCCAGGCUGGUCUCGAACUCCUGACCUCAGGUGACCCACCUGCCUCAGCCUCCCAAAGUGCUGGGAUUACAGGUGUGAGCCACGAAGCACAGCCUAAAAUGGAUCUUUUAAUACCAAAUAAGGACAUUGUCUUAUGAUUUAAAAAGUGUCUUUUUAAAACCUGGCUACAUUGUUCUUAUUCUCACUUUGCUAUAGAAUAAUGAAAAGUUAUCCAACAUUCAUUUUGGAAUAUUGUUUUGGAAUAAUUCAUGUAUCUCGGCUGUCUGAUUUUACCAACAUGGAAAGCAUAACUCAAAGACAAUUCUUUAAUCAGUUUUUAAAAUGAAACUACUUUUCUCAGCUGUUAAAAAAAUAGAUUUAUAAUAAUAGUCAUCAGCAUUCUUUUAAAUUGUGACAAGUUAGUCUUAGAAGGAUACAAAAAUGUAUAAAAGACUUGUGAAUUUCUGACAAAUUUAAAUUAGGAUAUGUCCAUAAAUAGCAAUUAAAAUUGUUUCCAAAGAGUUAUUUCAAAGCAUCACAUAUUACAAAAAAAUGGUGAAAAUAUAAAUAUAGGUCACAAUUUAUAGGACUUUUGUAUAUUGUGUAUGUUUCCAUAGAAAUAGGUAAAGGAAAUAAUGGUUUCUUUUUGGGUUAUAGGCUUACAGAUGGAUUUUCUAUAGCAGGCGUAUGUUACCAAAAAAAUGGGAAUGGGCUGAUGCUUGGAUAUUAACUUAAAAAUGG
RNAcentral lists this long non-coding RNA (17053 nucleotides) under Homo sapiens (human). RNAcentral describes it as "non-protein coding lnc-SRPK2-1:5". Lineage: Eukaryota; Metazoa; Chordata; Mammalia; Primates; Hominidae. The record is from RNAcentral.